AUUGAACGCUGGCGGCAUGCCUUACACAUGCAAGUCGAACGGUAACAGGUCUUCGGAUGCUGACGAGUGGCGAACGGGUGAGUAAUACAUCGGAACGUGCCUAGUAGUGGGGGAUAACUACUCGAAAGAGUGGCUAAUACCGCAUGAGAUCUACGGAUGAAAGCAGGGGAUCGCAAGACCUUGUGCUACUAGAGCGGCCGAUGGCAGAUUAGGUAGUUGGUGGGAUAAAAGCUUACCAAGCCGACGAUCUGUAGCUGGUCUGAGAGGACGAUCAGCCACACUGGGACGGAGAAACGGCCCAGACUCCUCCGGGAGGCAGCAGUGGGGAAUUUUGGACAAUGGGCGCAAGCCUGAACCAGCAAUGCCGCGUGCAGGAUGAAGGCCUUCGGGUUGUAGACUGCUUUUGUACGGAACGAAAAGCCCCGGGUUAAUACCCUGGGGUCAUGACGGUACCGUAAGAAUAAGCACCGGCUAACUACGUGCCAGCCGCCGCCGUAA
RNAcentral lists this ribosomal RNA (498 nucleotides) under uncultured bacterium. RNAcentral's name for it is "partial 16S ribosomal RNA". It matches the Rfam family "Bacterial small subunit ribosomal RNA", at positions 30 to 523 of the family's 1533-position model. The record is from RNAcentral.